CCCUCCAGGGUUUUAAGUCGGUAGGCGCCCGACCUGCAGGUGUCUGUAAUCUUGUAGGGUCCUUCCCAGUUUGGGGACAGUUUUUCUUGAUCCUGAGGCUUCGAGACUUCCGCCUUCAUCAAAACGAGGUCUCUGGGUCUGAAAGAUUUUGGUCUAACUUUAGCGUUGUAGUAUCGGGCCACUCUUUGUCGGUAGGAAGCCAUGUGGAGUUGAGCCUCGCAUCGAAGCUCGGAUAGGAGGUCCAAGUCAGCUCUCCGAUACUCGAAGUUGCCCGAUUUAUAGUAUUGCGCAACUCUAGUCGAUGGUAGCCCGAUCUCUAGUGGGAUCAUUGCUUCUGUCCCAUAGUCC
RNAcentral lists this long non-coding RNA (348 nucleotides) under Elaeis guineensis (African oil palm). RNAcentral's name for it is "long non-coding RNA (EGUI_LNC001413)". The record is from RNAcentral. Lineage: Eukaryota; Viridiplantae; Streptophyta; Magnoliopsida; Arecales; Arecaceae.